This 4500-nucleotide long non-coding RNA is filed under the name Sarcophilus harrisii (Tasmanian devil). RNAcentral's name for it is "lncRNA (ENSSHAG00000024930.1)". The record is from RNAcentral. Lineage: Eukaryota; Metazoa; Chordata; Mammalia; Dasyuromorphia; Dasyuridae.
CUUUAUUAUUAUUUUCAAUAUCCAUAUGUUAUUAUUUGUUCUCUUUUCUCAUUUUUCUUUAUUAUUCUGAAUAAAAUGCCCAUAAAAUGAGUAUUUCAGGGUACAUUAGAGAACAGAUAGAGAACACAAAGUUAAACAUUCUAUAGAGUUUGACUUAAAUAAGGGGGGCUUGGGAUUGACCAAGAAGAGCCUUGUGCUCCACUGAUGCAAACCCAUGUAGACGUCAUAGCCUGGUUAGGAAUUGUUUUCUGUCUGUUAACUUCAUGGAGAAGUUUUUGGACGAGCUGCCAAGUCAGAACUUGGGAUGCUUACAAAAAGCAGUUACUGACAUGAUUCGGGUGCUCUCUGUUUCCCGGCUGUGUUCACCUGAGGAGUAAUGUAAGCCUCCAGAUGGGUAGAGAGGCAUUGGGCCGAUAUCUCUCUUCCCAGUCCAUCAGCUAUGUGAGCUGGUGAGCUUCGAAAGGUCAAGAAGACAAUCUGCUAAAGGGCCAGGACCUGGAGUCCAGGAGGAGUGAAGGGCCCAUCGAGUCGGUUGCCCUUGCACAGGAAUGGAUUGAAGGCAGCCAAGAGAGAUCCCAGCGACUCCUCCACCAGCUGGGCCACAUUUAGAAGUGAGCUCGGGUGGCCAAUGCUUCCUCAGAAUGGCUCCAAGUUAAAAGAGGAAGACUUCCAGAGAAGAAUCACCAACCCGCAGAGAUGGAAGCCAUGUUACCUUUGUUCUAUGGAAGUGGAGGAGCCUUUUAUGGAACAGAGGGUUUCCAGGUGUUCUUAAGGAAAAGACCAGACUUGAAUAAACCAGUAAAGGGGAAACUCGGGGAUUGAGAGAAAUAUAAUAAACAUGCAUAGAUUUACUCACGUGGAAGGCAAUUGUUUACAUGCUUAUAAGAGGAGAAGAAACAAAUGUCUUCUUGAAACCCUAAUGUCUUCAAGAGUCACAGAGUAAGGUAGAUAAAACAGGCAGAGGGCCUGGAAGGAUUGCUUUUUUUCUCGGCUGAUGGUCUUAGGAGGAGACACAAAAGGGAGGGACAGAAUGGAGACUGUACUAGGGGGGAAAGGAGGAGGAAGAGGAAAGACAUAAUUAUUUUGCAUAGUAGGGGUAAUUGGUGGGGCACUCCAUAAAUUAUUUUCAUCUGAACCAAAGGAAGGUUGAACAUCACCUCCAGACCCCUCAAUAUAUUCACAUACAAAGAGACUUAUUUAGAACCAUAUUAAACUUAACAGGGAAAUAGGAAAGGACAGCGAGAGGGGAGGGAGAGAUAAGGCUAUAAACAGGAGGCCAGGAUAGAUCAGUGAGUAAUUGCAAGCAAAAACAAAUUCCAAUAUCAGAGGGGAAAAUAUGAAUAGAGGAUCAAAGGAAAGGAUCAGAAAUUAAAGGUGGGAUCAGAAUGGAGUCAAGGGGAAGAGUAGAGGUGUAAAAACAGGUCAAUUUAUUUAAAGAUCAAAAGUGUGGGCUAAACUCAUUCUCUUUUACUACCUUCUUAUUUAUAAAGAAAAGAAUAGGAGGCAAGAGAAGAAAAAGAACCACAGGACAGGGUGCAAGAGAUACCCAACUGGGGAUCACGACUAUAAAAGUGAAUAUAAACUCAUUCAUAAAGUGGAAAAGGAUUCUAGAAUAGAUAAGAAAGCAGAAUCUAAUAAUAUUUGUUUAUAAGAAACCUAUAUGAAAUAUAAAGAUUCACAGAGAUUUUGGAUUAGGGCUAGAAUAAAGCAGAAUCUAUUACGUUUUGGGUGAGCAAAAAACCUCAGCGUAGCAAUCAUGAUUUCAGAUAAAGCUAUAGUAAAUAUAGACAUGAUAUAAAAAGACUUGAAAUGCUUAAAAGCACCAGAGAUAACAAAUGAACGUCAAUAUUUAACAGAUCCGGUCCAAAUAAUUUACAAAGUAUCUGUGUAGUUUUUACAAAGUUAAUCUAUUUGCAAGGAUACAUAGAAGACUUAUAGGGAGACUUAACACUGCAGGAUUUCAAUGUACUCCUUUCAGAUCUAGGCUAAUCUAACAAGCUAAAAGAGAAAGAAGUUAAGAACCCAAAUCGGAUUUUAGAAAAAUUAGAGAUUAUAGAUUUCUGGUGAUUAUUGAAUGGGAAAUGAAAGGAGCUUGUUUAGCUCUUCACCAUACAUGGCACCUUAAAAAAAAAAAAAAAAAAAAAACCAACCACACACAUAUUGGUACAUGAGAGCAGUAGUCCCAAAUGUAGAAAAGCAGAAAUACUAAACUUUUCAUUUCAUCAUAAUAUAAUAAAAUUAUUUUCAACAAAGUGCCUUGAAAUAAACAAUUAAAAUUUAACUGAAGACUAAAAUGAACUUGAUUCUAAAGAACAAAUCUUAGAAACACAAGAUAAUUUUAUUAUUAAAGAAAAUGACUACAAUUAAACAAUAUACCAAAGCUUAUGGAACACAACUAAAGUAGUCCUUGGCAGAAAAUGUUUAUCUCUAAAUGCUUUAAUCAAAGAAAGAUCAAGUCAAUGAACUGGUGACACAACUAAAAAAAAUCUAAUACAACAAUAAAUCAAAACUCUACAAGUAAACACCGGAGAAGAAAUUCUAAAAUAUGAAAAAAAAUUAACAAAACCAAAAGAUAAGUCUUUAUAAUUAAAAGCAGGAACUGUUUUUAAAGAAAAAAGUUAGCUAACCAGAUUUUUUAAGAGAAAGGAAAAACAAAUUGUACGAAAGAUGAAAAAAGGAGAAUUCCCCACAAUUGAAGAUGAAAUAAACAAAUUUAUCAGAAAUCACUUUGCUUAAUUACAUGACAACAGAAGUGAAAAUUUAAAGGAAAUGGAUAAAUACAUCCAAAUACCCAGGUUCACUAAAUUAGAAAAAGAUUGUUUAAAAACUCAAAGCAAGAAAAGAAAUUAAACAAGUCAUAAAUGAACUUCAAAAUAGGAGGGAGGAAAACCUCUCGGAUCAGAGAGGUUUACAAGUGAAUUCUAACAUUCGAAGAAGAAUUAAUUUCAGUAUUACCAAACUGUUUGCAAAAAUUGGAAAAUAAUGGAUUCUGCUGAUCCCUUUCAGUUAUACAAAUAUGGUUCUGAUACUUACACAAGGGAGAGAGAAUGAAAAGAAAACUGUAAGCUGGUAUCUCUCAUUUAGCAUAUUGAUGGAAAAUUUUAAACAAAAUAUUAGUGAGUUAGGCUCUAAUAACGUAAUAAAAGAUUAUAGUCUGCAAUUGGGAAUUCUACAAAUAACACAAAAUUGGCACAAUAUAAGGAAAACUAUAAAUAUAAUAAAUGAUAUUGAUAAUAAAGAACAAAAAUCACAUGAUCAUAUCAGUAAAUGUUGAAAAGGCUUUUGACAAAGUCCAACACCUAUUUCUGCUAAAAGCCCUACCAAGUAUGAGAAUAGCUGAAACUUCCCUUAAUUGUAUAAAUAAUAACUGUCUAAAACCAAGAACAAGCAUCAUAUUAACAGAAAAAAGUUAGAGGUCUUUCUAAUAAGAUCAAGGGUAAAGCAAGGAUGGAAAUUUUUCACAUCAUUCUAGUAUGAUACCCACAAAACUCAGCAGAAAGAGAUGGUGAAAGAAAUCACAUUCAAAAACAACUAUAUAAUGUACAAAAUCCAGUGACACUGGCCUCCUUGUAUUUCCUUAAACAAGACAUGCCAUCAGCUGACCCUGGGCAUUUCUAAAGGCUGGCUGCCCUCCAUGACUGGAACUCUCUCCUUUCUCAUUGCUACCGCCUGGCUUCACUCAAAUCCCACCUUUUACAAGAAGCCUUUCCCUAUUCCAUUUAAUACUACUAUUUUUCCUUUAAGAAUAUUUCCAGGGGCAGCUAGGUGGCCCAGUGGAUGGAGUACCAGCCCUGAAAGCAGGAGGACUUGAGUUCAAAUUUGGUCUCAAACACUUAAUUAACACUUCCUAGCUGUGUGACUCUGGGCAAGUUACUCAAUCCCAAUUGCCUAAGGAAAAAAAAAGAAAGAAAGAAAAAAAGAAAAAGAAAAAGAAUAUUUCCAAUUUAUCUGGACUAUAUUUUAUUUCUAUAUAGCAGUUUGCAUGUUUCCUUGUCCUUUAGAUGGAGAGCUUUUUGUCUUUCUUUGUAUCUCCAUUCCUUAGUACUAUGUCUGGUACAUAGUAGAUGCCUGAUAAAUAUUUAUUGACCAACUGAAUAAAAUAUUUGGGAAUCUAUGUACCAAGAUAUACCCUGGAAUUCUGUGUAUCCAACUACAAAAUACUCCUUCCUAAAAUAAAGAUAGACCUAAAUAAUUAAAGAAUUAUUACUAUUAUUAUUAUUUGCAGAGGUUAUUGGAGUUAAGUGACUUGCCCAGGGUCACACAGCUAGGAAGUAUUAAGGGUCUGAGGCCAGAUUUGGACUCAGGUCCUCCUGACUUCAGGGCUGAUGCUCUAUCCACUGUGCCCCUUAGCUGCCUCCAAUUGGGGAAAUAUUAAUUGCUCACGACUCUAUUAUGUCACCCUAAUAAAAAUGACAAUGUUGCCUAAAUUCAUUUGUUUAUUCAGUGCCAUAGCCAUUAAACUAAUAAAAGAUUAUUUUAGGACUAGAAAAAUAAAUCAUC